RNAcentral lists this ribosomal RNA (3624 nucleotides) under Triticum aestivum (bread wheat). RNAcentral describes it as "partial small subunit ribosomal RNA". Lineage: Eukaryota; Viridiplantae; Streptophyta; Magnoliopsida; Poales; Poaceae. The record is from RNAcentral.
AUGACGGACGGCGACCACCGGGACAGUAAGGAACUUGCUGCCCUUGAGAAGGUGUUGCUCGAUGAAACCGCGGAUCCAGUCGAUUUGCCUUUCUCGCUUCUCAAAGCCAUCACAGGGAAUUUUUCCCUAGCUCACGAAAUCGGUAGGGGCGGGUUCGGGGCGGUCUACAAGGGACUGCUUCCAAGUGGUCUUACCGUUGCUGUGAAGAAGCUUUAUGAGAAAUUCGAGGUCCUGGACAAGAACUUCGAAAGCGAGGUCGCAUGUCUCGUGGGGGUCAGGCACAGGAACAUGGUGCGAUUCCUCGGAUACUGCUCUGAGACGCAACACGUAAUGAUGCCGUACGACGGGAAGCUUAUAUGGGCAGAUGUGCGACAGAGGCUGCUCUGCUUCGAGUACCUGCCCAAAGGGUGCCUUGCGGACUAUCUCUCUGAUGCAUCUUGUCGACUUUUGUGGACUACACGUUAUCAAAUAAUCAAGGGGAUCUGUGAGGGUAUACAUUAUCUUCAUCGGCAGCGUAUUAUUCACAUGGAUCUCAAACCUCAGAAUGUACUAUUGGAUGAUAACAUGGUUCCCAGAAUUGCGGAUUUUGGUUUAUCGCGCCGCUUAAGUGAAAGCCGGAGUCAUGCUAUUACUGAAAAGAAGCUUGGGACGAUGGGAUAUAUGGCACCAGAAUUUAUAAUCAAGGGAGAAAUCACCUUCAAGAUAGACAUAUAUAGUUUGGGAGUUAUAAUCAUGGAGAUCCUAAUGGGACGUAAGGAAUGCUCAAAUGUUAAGGAGAUAAGUUUUGCCUCGAAGCUGACGGAUGAGCUGAAGUUGAUGGAUGAUUCUGCUGCACCAUCCCAACAGCAAUCAUCGGAGCUGGAAGUGGAGCAGGAGGAUUACAAAGUGAGCCAAGAGAAGAAGAGGAAGGCAUCAGCCAUAAAUUUCUCCAAGCUGGCAGAUGAUUUGGCGUUGUUGGAUGAUUCUGCUGCACCUUCCCAACUGUUGGAGAUGGAGCAGGAGGAUGGCAAAGUGAGCGACGAGAGGAAGGCAAAGGCAGCAACAGUGAGUUUGGCGACUGAGGUGAUGAGCACCGUCAGUGGCAAGCUUACCACUUUCAGAGGCAACGAGUACAAGAAGCGCAAAGAGGUGAGGAAACAGGCCUCCUUCCUCGAGAAGGAGUUGAGCACCAUAAAUGCUUCCCUGGAGCAGCUAGAGCUCAUGGAUGAGCUCGCUCCAUGGGUAAAAACAUGGAGGCACGAUGUCAAGGAGAUUUCCUACGGCAUGGAGAAUUGCAUUGAUGACUUCAUGCGCCAAUUCGGAGGUGAAGAUGCUGAGACAUGCUUCGUCUGGGAGGCUGCUGAACUUCAUAAGAGGUUGUGCGAACUUCAUCGGCUAGCCAACGAAAUGAAAGAGCUGAGGACUCUUUUGGUAGAAGCAAAUGCUCGACGUGAGAGUUACAAAGUUGAUGAUUGCAAGCCUAGUUUUGGCUCUGUGGCUGUCGACCCCCGACUGCCAGCGGUCUACCAGGAGGCAACCAACCUUGUGGGCAUUGAUGGCCCAAGGGAGGAGGUUGCCAAUUGGUUGAUGAAUACUCAGAGAAAACUUAAGGUUGUGUCUAUUGUGGGUUUCGGAGUUGAAACUUGGAUAAAUAUUCCUUCUCACGAUCGUGGGUUUGACGACAUCAUUGAAGUGCUAAGGAAGUAUCUCGUAGAGAAAAGGUACCUUAUUGUAGUUGAUGACUUGUGGGAUCAAUCAACAUGGAAGAUUAUUAGUUCUGCUUUUCCAGAAAAUGAAAAUGGGAGUAGAAUAAUAGUAACGACACGGUUGGAAGAUGUGGCCAGUGCGGCCUGUCAUAAUGACAGUGAGUGCAUAUACACAAUGAAGCCCCUCAAUGAAGAUAACUCAAGAAUGUUAUUCUGCAACAGAGUAUUCGGGUCCAAAGCUGUUUGUCCACCCCAUCUUCAAGACGUCGCGGUUGAUAUUCUGAAGAAGUGUGGCGGAUUGCCGCUCGCAAUUAUCACUAUAUCUAGCCUAUUAGCUACUCAACGGAGAUCAAUGAAACACUGGGAGAGCAUAAGGAAAUCAUUGGGUGCCCAGUCUUCCACAGUUCCUUCACUGAAAGAGAUUAAUACUAUAUUAAACCUUAGCUACAAGCAUCUUCCUCUUCAUCUCCGGGCAUGUUUUCUGUACCUUGGUAUGUAUCCCGAGGACUAUAUCAUAGGACGGGAUGAUUUGGUUAAACAAUGGAUAGCUGAAGGCUUUGUCAGCAGUUUGCAUGGGCCAGAUUUGGAGGAUGUUGGUAGGAGUUAUUUCAAUGAGCUUGUCAAUAGAAGUAUGAUUCAGCCAUCAGAUACUGAGUGUGGACAGGUGUUGUCUUGCACAGUACACGACAUGAUGCUUAAUUUGAUUCUAAGCAAGUGCGUAGAAGAUAAUUUUAUUAGUGUGGCAUACAACUCUGAGGACAUGGCAAGAUUGCUGCAUGGCUGCAAGUACAAGGUUCGACGAUUAUCCCUGAGCUCCAUGGCUGUUGGUGGAGCAAUAUAUGACACGGCUGUUGCUGCUAGCCUAUCACAAGUUCGAUCAUUUAUGUUGUUCGAGAAACCCGCAGUCAUACCCCCUCUUUUCUGGUUCAAGUAUCUUAGGGUGCUCGUCAUCUUUGCUAGGGGGGAGAAUAUAGUUGACCUCACCUCUAUUAGCCAAUUGUUUCAGCUGAGGUAUCUGAUGGUUACAGUUUAUGACCGUGUGAAGAUAGAGCUCCCUACUAAACUUGGUGAGCUUAUUUACUUGGAGACGCUGGACGCAGGAAAUUGCAGACAAAUAGGGAGCAUCCCCUCAGAUAUAGUUCAUUUGCCCCGCCUGUCUUAUCUAGUUCUUCCAAAUUGGACAAAGCUGCCUGAAGGUAUCGAGAAUAUGAAAUCACUACGCACUCUGCAAGGGCUUGACCUGCAAAAUAGCUCAGUGAAGGGUAUUAUGGGUCUCGGUGAGUUGACCAAUCUGAGGGAACUGGGUAUGCGACUACAUAUAAAUUCAAAGACGCUAAGAGCUGAUGCUUUGGCCUGCUCCAUUGGAAAGCUCUGUGACCUCAAAUCUUUGUCCAUCUUUGGCAAUUAUUAUGAGCGUGAGAAUGUCCAGCAGUUGAGUUCAUUAUCCAAUCCUUUUCAACAUAUUGAGCGUCUUGACUUGAAAUACUGGCAGUUCCGCAGAGUUCCGAAAUGGAUGGGUGCUCUCCAUUGCCUGUGUUUCCUCAAGAUGCAGAUUGGGAAGCCGUCAACUAACGAUGUUCAUCUUCUUGGAGAGCUUCCAUCCCUUGUCCACCUCGAGUUAGGAGGGAGAGUGGUCCCUGAUGAAAGAGUAAUAUUAGGUGCGAGACUAUUCCCGGUUCUGGAGUACUUCGAUUUAUAUUGUGAGGUGGAUAGUACGGCGUUCCUAUGGUUCGAGGCGGGUGCUAUGCCUAACUUACGAACACUCUGUCUCCAAGUGAUGCAUUGGCACGGCAGUAUGCCAGACGGCUUGGAGCACCUGUUACACCUCCAGGAGAUCCUAGUGUAUGGGCCGGGGGCCUUUGAUGAUGUCACUUCCUCGUUCAGGGAGGCCUCGCUGGUGCAUCCAAACCGCCCUUCUAUUAAUGGGAAUGGCGUGUGA